CCGAGAAAGUGCUCGCCCCACUACGGGGCAGAGUCCACGGGCAUGGGGUGGAUGCUGAGCCCAGGAACACAGGCCAUCUCGGCCUCCGCCCUGCCCCACCCCAGACCCCGUCCCCCAGAGGCCCUGCCCCACGCCCCGACCUCUAUUUCUCAGGCUCUGCUGCAGGACUUGCUCCUGUGCAGACACAGCCCAGGCGGUGGGCGGUGGGUCAGCACAGACCCCCGAGGCAUCGGCACCUGCUGCCAGGUGUGUCUGCUGUCCUGCCCUGGGCCAUCGUUCAGUCAUUCCUGGGCUGCGUUCCUCCCUAGAGCAUUUCAUGGGAGCAGCACGGGGCUGAGGGCGCUUCUCCAGGGAGGCCCAGGCUGCAGGCUGGUCCUGCACCUGGGGGGCAGAGGCCACCACAUCCACUGACCCCGCUGGGGCGGGCUUGUGCCCGCUGACACCCUCCCCAACUCCGGCACCACGAAAUGGUCACCAAAUGCAGUCUAGGAUGGCUUGGCACGGAAACCUCUGCCCGAGCAGGGUUGGGUCGGCCCUAGGUAUCCCCUCUGUGCGCCGCAGCCCAGGGCCCCGCAGGGAGGGCAGGGGGAGGCGGUGGUCAGCACUGGAACAGAAGCCAUGGUGGGAGGUGGAGCAGAGGACUGGACUGGAAGAGGAACAUGGAGCUGGGCGAGAGCGGGACCUGCUGGGUACAGACACGGGCAGGCGGCAGGAAACAGAUGGACACAGGUCACAUAGUCCUUUCAUUCCACCUGCCUGAGGCCUUGAGGCCAGAGGGGACCGGGGACGCCGCAGCGUGGACGGACUGGGAGGGGCUGCAUGGAGCAGCGACCCGCCAGGGUGCCAGAAAGCAUGAAACUUUGAUGUCUCAACAAGCUCAUCCACAAAGCCGAGGGGGAGAUGUGUCCAGUGCUGCAGCCCAGGGGAUUUGGGCCCGUGGGUCUCUGGAAGUUGAUAUUUUCUGCCAGACCAACUUCUUUGAUGUUGAUAUUCUAGAUGAAAAUAAUAAGAAGGAUAAAAAUAAGAAUAGCAGCUAAUCUUCACUGAACGCCCACCAUGUGCCGGGAACUGUCCUAUAUAUGCCUCGGUUGUCCACCGCCGUGUAACAAACCAUCCCAAGACAUCAUGACUUAAGGAAAGGUCAUCCGGAUCAGGGAUCUGUAAUCUGGGCAGGACUUGGAGGAGUCAACCUGUCUCUGCCCCCCGGUGUUAGCUGGGGCAGGUGGACUCCAGCUGGAGGACCCGCUUCCAAGAUGGUGCACCCGCAGGGCUGGAGAGGCGGGCCUGGCGGUGGGUGCCUCUCCACGCAGGCCUCUCUUUGGGCAGCUCGAGCUUCCACACGGCGUGCUGGGACCAGUGUGGACUAACCACCGAGCAACCACCAACCCUAAGGGGCAAGGGUAGAGGCUCCCGUCGGUCCUGAGGUCCGGGUGGGUGCCUGGCUCCUGGCUGAGGGCUCCAUAUGGUCACCUGGAAAUGUCCUCUGGGCUCUUGGCUCUGCCCUGUUCAUUCUGUCCACUUGCCUUCCUUUUCAGUCCAAACCAGAUAUGUCCCCACUAGAAACAUCUCACAAAACAUUGUAGGCUUCCUGUCAAUUCUACUGGGGCCGCCCAUGGGUGUGUGGUCACACUCACAAAUCCCGGAGACAGGACCCUCUGCCUCUGGCCCCUGUAAGGCUCAGAGGCACCGAUGCCUUCAAGGGCCUGGAGGCCCCUGUUCAGCAGGACCUUGGUGGGGGGGCUCUGUGAGGCACCCCGAAGCCCGUUGGAGGCCGUGACAGUCCCCGUCUCACCCUGAUUGAGCACAGUCUGAGGGUCAGGAAGAGCGGACGGACGGACAGAGAGCCAGCUGUACUCCUGCCCCAGCCCUUCGUUCACUGCUCCGCCGCCCUGGAGCCGUGCAGUGCGCUCGCCUGUGCUCGGCCCUCCUGCAUUCACCACAGUGGCUGGAAGAGGAGAGUGGGACCCUGGCAGCGCUGCCUGGAAGCCUCCCGGACUGGCCCUCUGCGUCCAGCGGGCACUCACUUCCUACCCUGUGCUCGACUCCUGCCCCCUGCCUGCUAGGUCCUUCCCCGCCCAUGCCACCGCCUCGGGGCACCGCUUUGGGACGCUGUCCACUUCCGGGUACCAACCCGUCUCUGGUUGCCAUGGCUGCAUGAUGGCCACCCCAAAACUUAGGAAGCUAAAGUAACGGCCAUUUGUUCAGCUCUCAGAUCUGCAAUCUUGUGGAGAGGAAGGCCUGCGCUUGCCCCACGGGGCUUCAGCUGGGCAUCUUGGUGGGGCUUGAGGACCACAUCCCGAGGGGCCCUCCCUUGGGUCAGCCUCCCUCCACCAGGGCUUGAGCCUGGGCCUGCGUCAGCUUCUCACCCCUGGAGGCUGGGUUCUAAGUGCCAGUGUCCCGAGAGGGAAGAAGUUGUGUCACCUUCCACAUAAGGGGUCCCUUCUGCUGUGGUCACAGGCCCCCUGGAGUCAAGUAGGGGGACACAGACCCCAAGCCCCAUCAAGAGGGGGUCAGAGACCCACAGUAAGAACAGCAUAUGAGGUGGGAGAUGGCGUUGAGGGCAUCCGUGGAACAUACCACCCACACAAAUACUUUCUCGGCUCUCACCCCAGCUGAUGAAGCCAGCUCCACCGUCACUGUUCCUGCGCAGAUGGGCAUGCAGCCCAGUGAGCGUGGCGGAGAGCCUGGAGCCUCUGUCCUUGGCAAAGACACCUGUCACCUGAGUUGACUCCACAGACGAAAGUACGUGACAUCCUGGCAGCACCCUGGCCAGCACCCCAUCCAGCACCCCUGUCAGCAACCCCUGGUCAGCACCCUGGCUAGCACACCGGUCAGCACCCAGGCCAGCAACCACGGCCAAUACCCUGGCCAGUAUCCCGGUCAGCACCCCGGCCAGCACCCCUGUCAGCACCCCCUGGUCAACACCCUGGCCAGCACCCCAUCCAGCACCCCGUCAGCAUCCCCUGGUCAGCACCCUGGCUAGCACACCGCUCAAUACCCAGGUCAGCACCACCCCCCACACCCCGCCCCUCAGCACCCCAGCCAGCCCCCACCCCAACCAGCACCCCAGUCAGCACCCCAGCCAGCACCACCACUCAAUACCCAGGCCAGCACCACCACCACUCCCACCACCCCAUCCCCUCCCCCCUAUCAGUACCCCAGCCAACCCCCACCUCAGUCAGCACCCCGGCCAGCACCCUGGUCAAUACCCGGGCCAGCACCCUGGUGCCUGCUCAGCACCUUCCCAGGAACAAUGGAAGUAGCCCCUUCCGAAGAGCUCGUGCCUGGAGGCCGCUGGAGGGCCAGAGCAGAGGAAGAGCCUCCCACUGAGGGGGCCCUGGUGUUGGGGUGGAGGGGCCCCAGCAGGAGCCAGGCCCACGCCCCCCACCUGGCCUAGGUGCCUCCCUGGGCAGAGCCAGCCAGGUCUCAGGGACACCUGCUCCUCGGCCAAUGCACAGCCAGCCUCUGAUGGAUCUGCAGGUGACCGAGCUCUCAGCUGCUGGAGGAGCUGCCCCGUGCGGCUGGGCAUCCGGGGGCUGGACAUUCCCUCGAGGUGAGCGGCCUUGGGCUGGCCGUGACUCCUCAUCUUUCCAUCCUUGGAAAGGGCAGCUUCUUUCACAUCCUGUGUCCCGCAGGGGAUGGUUUCCAGGGAGGCCACUGGACGAGGGAAGAGUGAUGCCUGCCAACGUGACCCCGCGGAUGCCUGGUGCCUUCCAAUCAGAGCCCAACGGGGUCUUGGAGGUCCUGUCGUAGGGCAGACCUGUUCUCACCUCAGGGCCUUUGCAUGGGCUGUUCCCUCUGCCUGUCUGGCUUUCUCCAAGGACACACAGAAAGGGGGGUGUGUCCCCCAGCUGCUCUCAGGAUGUCCAUGUGUUGUUUGUACCCGAGUUCCCGCAUCUGUGUUGUAUAAGCCGUCUACCGUAAAACCUACGUUCCCAAUCAUUUCCUUUUGCAAAAAGAGCCCUUAUGUGGGGCAGGGCGCGCAGGUGUCAGCUCUUCAGAAAUGAUCCGACGGGGAGGCGACCGCCCCCACCCAGGGUGUGUCUGGGGGAGGAGUGACCCGCUGGGUCCCUCUGCUUGUGGGGUUCCGUGGCCACAGGUCCCUGCGAGCCCAGCAGACACCUGCACCGCCGCCCCCUUCAGCGGAUGCUCCCUGCGUGCACCUGGCGAUGGAGACGCGCAUGCAGAGGGGGUUUGCCAACCAAAGCGCACCUCGUUUAUCCCCUCAAAGAUCCUUCGGGGGGGGCGGCUGGGAAAGCUGUCUGGGUCCUGCCUGGAGCAGGCAUGGAUGUUGCCUUUGCUGCUCAUUUCGGGGAAACCAAAGCCCUGAACGAUGAAGGGCUUGUUUGUUGUUCCUCACUUGGUGGGAUGGAGCCAGGGAGCCCUCCCCUCCCAGCCACUGCCCCUCCCAUGUCUUCGGGAAGUGGCUUCCGUGGCUGCUCAGCUGCCAUGUUCACCCUCCCUGCCCUGCCCAGCGCGUGACCACGAGGGAGGAGGGCCAGGUGAGUGCUGCUCCUCCGCAGCAGCAGAAACGGGGAAGCCUGGUGCACCUCGGGCUCCCAGGGAGUGGGGAAGCGUCUCCUGCGCUGCUCCAUCUCCCGAGACCACCACACGCCCGCCGCAGGCAGCAGCUCGUGCAGGGGGAGCAUGAAAGAGCCAAGAGGCCGAGGGCUCCCGCCACCUUCCCUGGGCCUUCGUCCCACGCCUGCUGUUUCCCCUGAGGGGGAAUCUUUCGAAUUAAAGGUGUAAAUGUGCCUUUGCCUGGGCCUGGAGCUGGAUCGGCCCCGCGCCUGUGUCCUGAGGACGCCCACCACUCGGCCCGUCCCAGGGGAGGUCCGGCCAACUGUGGCCACUGGCCGCCUGCACCUGCCUGCGGCAGACCCUUUCCUCAGGGGUUCCGUCUUGGGAGCGAUCCGGGAGCCUGACCGAUACGAGAGACACGGAAUCCAAUGGUGACUUUUUUAAAAAGAGAUUUUUAUUUUAUUUAUUCAUGAGAGACACACAGAGAGAGAGAGAGAGAGAGAGGCAGAGACACAGGCAGAGGGAGAAGCAGGCUCCAUGCAGGGAGCCCGAGGUGGGACUUGAUCCCAGGACCCCAGGGUCAUGACCUGAGCCAAAGGCAGACGCUCCACUGCUGAGGCCCCAGGCGUCCCAUCCAAUAGUGGCUCGAUGAGGACGGUCCCCGGCGUGCGUGCAGAGCCGCAGGGACCAGCGGUCUGGGGGCCUCGGGCCGGAGGGCAGAGCGCAGGGAUGUCUCUCCCGUCCUCGUGGCUCCGCACGGCAUCCCUGCUGAACCUGCAAGCGUGAACAAGAGUCUUCUUGGUGCCGGGCGUGCCCUGCGGCCGGGCUGUGUCCAGCGCCACCUUCCCAGCAACACUGGCGGGCGACAGGCAGAGGUGCACCACCCGGCCACCCGGGCUGCGUGGGAUGAGGUGGGCACGGUGGCCCCACAAGCGGCACGUCAGCCCAUAACAGGUGUGAGCUGUUCCGAGCGGCCCCGGGGCCCCGGCUCACAGGUGGUCCUCUCCCCGCGGUGCCCACCCCCAGGGAUGGGGGAGGCUGCCCUCUACCAGGUGGACCCCGGAGUGAGCAACCCUGGAGUGAGCACAGGGCAAACCUGCUGCUGCCUUCAGGGAGCUCAUGUUAUAAUAGGAAGACAGACAGACAGACACGAAGACGUGAGUGGCACCAGGGCCUAGAGGAAGAGUGAGGCCGGGUAGGAGGGCAGAGCAGAGAGCAGAGGCGUGAGCUCUCCAGAUGACAGCUGAGCCCAGACGGAAAGGCAGAGAAGGGAUGGGUCACAGAGAGAUCUGGGGGACAGAGCGUUCCAAGAAGAGGGAGCAGUAGGUGCAAAAGUCCUGAGGCAGGAGUGUGACUGGUAUGUCCCAGGACUAAGGAGAGGCAGUGGGACCAGAGCCAUGGAACCUUGUAGGGUUUGAUCCAAAUUGAGGGGAAUGGAGGCCUCUGAGCGGGGCAGUGGCAUGGCCUGGGUUGGGUGCCAGGCUUG
RNAcentral lists this long non-coding RNA (6007 nucleotides) under Canis lupus familiaris (dog). RNAcentral's name for it is "lncRNA (ENSCAFG00030022568.1)". Lineage: Eukaryota; Metazoa; Chordata; Mammalia; Carnivora; Canidae. The record is from RNAcentral.